This 2009-nucleotide long non-coding RNA is filed under the name Pelobates cultripes (western spadefoot toad). The record is from RNAcentral. Lineage: Eukaryota; Metazoa; Chordata; Amphibia; Anura; Pelobatidae.
GAGGUAUAGAUUUUUGAAUGAACAGGUGUUCCACCUUUGUAUUCUACUCUGGUGGUCUUCCAGUUCAUUCUUCUCUUUUUUCUCAUAUGUUCAUGAGUAGUUUGUUGUAUCAUGUAUUAUACCUAUGAAUGUGGGCUGUAUAUGAGGGCUGCUUGUGGAAUUGUGUGUGUGGGUACAUAUGCCACAUGGUGUGUUUGGUAGUGUGUUUGUGUGGGGCUGCUUGUGGAAUUGCAUGUGAGAGACUGCAUGUGGGUUUGUGUGCCUGUAUGUGGAUUGUGUGUAUGUUUGUGUGUAAGCUGUUCAUAUUAUUUGUAUGAGGAGAGGGUUAUUUUACAUUUCUGUGUAUGUCUAGCAGUGUGGGUGGCUUCCCUGGGUUCCAGUGGGGACCAGGCUGGCCAGGUACAUGUCAAGGACAGGAGCUGCAAUAGCAGCUGCGGGCUGUUCUACUCCAGUGUGGAUUCCCAUUCACAAGUGAUGGAAUGAUGUGAUCUGAGAUUACGUCAGCGGUGGGAAACGUCUGACCCACAAAAUCAUUUGGACCGGCCUGUGGAGAGCCAGCCCUGCUGUCUGCUUUUUUCAGGCCGGUGGGGAGAUCAAAGAUCUUCCUCACCGGUCUCCGGGCAGUUUUUAAAGCGAGAGGCAGGGAGUUUGGACCUGGGAGCCUGCUGGACAGGAAGAGGAUCCGACAGCGCUGUUUUCGCAGGAAGAAAAUAGUGAAGUCAGCCUGCAACCAGAGGAGCUGCAGGCUAAGGUGCACACAAAACUACUGGACCACUAGGGCUUGCAGUGACCAGAGGAAGGAAGGGUGGGAUGUAGUUAAACAUUGCUGAAAUAAUAAUAGUUAUAUUUUCUGAAAUGAUGCAAUUUAUUUUUCUAUUUCCUAUUUGUAUGGCGAUAACAGUGUCUGAAUUGACACAAACAUAAAAAGCCCAGUGAAGGCAAAUACAAUUAUUAAAUAUAGGUUCCAUACAAUUUCGGGGUUUCUGACAUAACGAUUUACUGUACAAAGAUUACUAAGAAAAUAGUUAAGAUCCAUGGCAUAAAAUGAUGGUGUGCACAAAGAAAACAAGCUUUAAACAUAUGUUUUUUUUAACAGAAAAUAGAUGUUUAAAUGCGUGACUCUCACAGGAGACAUGCAUAGUUUUCUUUUCCUCUUUUUAAGGAAAAGAAAUGGAUUUUCUCCCUGAUCCCCCAACACAAUAUAGACCCCUGACACUACACCACCACACACAUAGAACCCCUAAUACACACACUGCACCCCACCCCCCCCACACACAGAACCCAUAACACAAACACUGUACCCCCUCACACACACACACACACACACAAGCACACCGCAAGUAGAAACAUCAUCAAUACGAGCUAACAUCACACCAAAGAGAAGCAGUUCCAGCCAUGUCAUUAGAAGUGAGUUAAUAAAAUUUUUGACCAAAUACAGCAGGUUAAUUUUUAAGUUGAUAAUUUUGUAUGGCCCGCGAAUGAGGUUUUAAAAUAAACAAAUGGCCCUUGGCAGAUAAAAGGUUCCGAAUCCCUGCUCUAUGUGCUGUAAUGCAUAUAUUGAGGAUUGCCCUUCACCACCUUUUUGUAUUAGCAGAUAUCUGAAGUUUCCUUGGGACUCCUGAUAGGCCAGAGCCUGUUUGGCUCUAGCAGCCUUGAGUGCCGUAGGUUGCCUACCCCUGCUCUAGACAAUAGUGCUAUUUACUCUUGUAACCUCAACUAUUACAAAAACAAAAGUGCUGCAUAUCUUGUCAUUUACAAUACCUGCUAUGUCAUUCAUCAAUGUUGCCGUAUGUUAUUUACUCUGCACUUUGAAAAAUAAAGAAUUAAAAAAAAUUAAGAGGGGGAGCCUGACUGCAUAACCAAGCGGACGCGGGUUGCAGUUGUUUCUGCAAGCUAUUGCAAAUUCUAUUGAACCAACCCGAACCAGAGCUGAUACCGGGCCCAAGCAGGUUGCCAGAUGACAGAGGACCUUGUGACAUUUCUGCAGAUACCACACAAGUGGAUGUCCC